RNAcentral lists this ribosomal RNA (502 nucleotides) under uncultured bacterium. RNAcentral's name for it is "partial 16S ribosomal RNA". It matches the Rfam family "Bacterial small subunit ribosomal RNA", at positions 32 to 523 of the family's 1533-position model. The record is from RNAcentral.
AAUCAACGCUGGCGGCAUGCCUUACACAUGCAAGUCGAACGGCAGCAUGGGUGCUUGCACCUGAUGGCGAGUGGCGAACGGGUGAGUAAUGCAUCGGAACGUACCCGGAAGUGGGGGAUAACGUAGCGAAGGUUACGCUAAUACCGCAUAUUCUGUGAGCAGGAAAGAGGGGGAUCGCAAGACCUCUCGCUUUCGGAGCGGCCGAUGUCGGAUUAGCUAGUUGGCGGGGUAAAGGCCCACCAAGGCAACGAUCCGUAGCGGGUCUGAGAGGAUGAGCCGCCACACUGGGACUGAGACACGGCCCAGACUCCUACGGGAGGCAGCAGUGGGGAAUUUUGGACAAUGGGGGCAACCCUGAUCCAGCCAUGCCGCGUGAGUGAAGAAGGCCUUCGGGUUGUAAAGCUCUUUCGGCUGGGAAGAAAUCGCAUCUCCUAAUACGGGGUGUGGAUGACGGUACCAGCAUAAGAAGCACCGGCUAACUACGUGCCAGCCGCCGCAGUAA